UUGACAUGCAGAGAACUUUCCAGAGAUGGAUCGGUGCCUUCGGGAACUCUGACACAGGUGCUGCAUGGCUGUCGUCAGCUCGUGUCGUGAGAUGUUGGGUUAAGUCCCGUAACGAGCGCAACCCUCGUCCUUAGUUGCCAGCAUUAAGUUGGGCACUCUAAGGAGACUGCCGGUGUUAAACCGGAGGAAGGCGGGGAUGACGUCAAGUCCUCAUGGCCCUUAUGUCCAGGGCUACACACGUGCUACAAUGGCCGGUACAAAGGGUAGCAAGACCGCGAGGUGGAGCCAAUCCCAAAAAGCCGGUCUCAGUUCGGAUUGGAGUCUGCAACUCGACUCCAUGAAGUUGGAAUCGCUAGUAAUCGUGGAUCAGCAUGCCACGGUGAAUACGUUCCCGGGCCUU
Molecule: ribosomal RNA, 400 nt
Filed under: uncultured Desulfuromonas sp.
Lineage: Bacteria; Pseudomonadati; Thermodesulfobacteriota; Desulfuromonadia; Desulfuromonadales; Desulfuromonadaceae
Description: bacterial SSU rRNA
Rfam family: Bacterial small subunit ribosomal RNA
Source: RNAcentral